This 114-nucleotide ribosomal RNA is filed under the name Castor canadensis (American beaver). The record is from RNAcentral. Lineage: Eukaryota; Metazoa; Chordata; Mammalia; Rodentia; Castoridae.
UUCUAAGGCCAUACCAUCCUGAACACACCAGAUCUCAUCUUGGAAGCUAAGCAGGAAAGGGCCUGGUCAGUAUUUGAAUGGGAAACCACCUGGAAUUACCAAGUGCUAUAGGCU